CGAUCUCCAUUUGAGUUUAUCAUUGACUUCAUUGACUUCAUUGAGAGGUAGAAAGCAGAGGGAAGAAUCCCUUGUCAGCUCCUUCACUUCCCGGACGUUGAAGGGAUGCUACCAAGCAUCACCUUUCAGACUUUAAACACUGCGUCAAUACUUCGCUUGAAACUUUCCUCUGACUGGGCUGUGAUACAUGAUUCGGGUAGGCGGUUCCAGCUAUUAACUACACGGGUAGAGAGAGUGGCGUCACCAUGGAUGCGUAACCUCCUCGGUCUUCACCAAGUUCGCCUCGGAGAAUGCGCCGGGUAUAUAUCAGAUCUCCUCGGUGACGACGGUAGGCCAGAGAAGAGAUUCAGCUGUUCCAGUCGAUCUUCGUAGGAAAGCUGGUGAAGUUUUGCAACUGUUUUCGUACCGCGACGUUGAACUCGCUCCAGCAUAUCGGAUUCGUACUUGGUCAAUGGGAAUACUGCAGGCAGUCCGUACUCAAGAAUGGGACGCACGUGAGAGAUAAACAGGGGUCUGAAAAUCGCAGGAGUCAUACGGGCAAAAGACCGUCUGAUGGAUCCAAACAUCCUGGUGGCAGCGGUGACCUUCUUCGUGGUGUCAAGACUAGUCUUUAGGUCUGACGACACUAUGACACCAAGGUCCUUCUCACUUGUGGUGUUUUUAAGGAGAUAUCCUCCAAUAUGGUACGCCCCGAGUGGAUUCUGAGUUCCCAUGGAGAGCACUGAACAUUUGGCAUGGUUUAUUGGAAGCAGCCAUUUUUCCGUCCAACUUUGGAGCCUAUCUAACACGUCUUGGAAACGGUCAGCAUCCUCGACGCUAGUAACUUCAGCCCAAAGUUUUAAAUCAUCCGCGUACAGUAAACACUCAAUGUUCAGUUCUUUCGGGAGAUCGUUGACAUAGAGCUUGAAGAGUUCGGGUCCAAGGACCGAUCCUUGUGGCACUCCACUAGACAUAAGCACAGGCGCUGAGUAUGCGUCGUUGACUUUCACUCGCAUAUAACGUCCUUCCAGAAAGUCAGCAAUCCAGGAUAAGAUCUUCCCAGUUACACCAACCCUUUGGAGUUUAAGCAGGAGACGCAUGUGAGGUACUCUGUCAAAGGCUUUGCUAAAGUCCACGAAAAUGACAUCAAGGCAUUUACCAGCGUCGACGGCAGCUACCCACUUCUCUCUGGCUACUAAGAGAUUCGAUACACAGGAACGUCCUUCCUGGAAACCAUGCUGAGCAGCAGUUAGCACGUCAAGCUCGUUCAGUCGACAGGUAGACGUCCGGUUUCCAAGGAAAGCUGGAGUAUGUGUCGGACGGGUUCUGCAAUAUGCUCGACAAUAGUUCUGAGGAAAGCUGGGUGCAUCUCAUCUGGCCCAGGAGAGGAGUCCGGCCGUAACUCCAGAAGUGCUUUCAUAACAUUUUCUCGCUCAAAUACAAGAUGGUGGAAGCCUGAGUCAGGAACAGGAAUAUGGGAAUCCAGGAUCUGCGGCUCGACGGUAUACACAGAGGCGUAUUGUGAGCCGAGUGAUUCAGCUUUUUCGGCAUCCUGGAGAAGGAGAUCCUCAGAACCCGGGGAACGAAGGGGAGGUAUGCCGCUUCCUGCCUUGGUCCUUCUCUUCAAAUAAGCGAACAGGAGCUUUGGGGAAGUCUUGGAUGUCUCCGCCAGACGCAGUUCAUAUUCGGUUCGUUUUUUCCGCUUCAUUUGUGUGCACCGAUUUCGAACUAUUUUGUAGCGAUCAUAGUCCACGGGAGAUUGAGACAGUUUGAAUCGAUCCCAUAGUUUAUGACGACUUUUCAGCAAGAGUCUUAGUUCACCAUCAAACCAAGGAGGACCUUUGGUGAAGGUUCGUUUCCGAGAAAUUGGCACAUGCUCCUCCACAAGAAGUUCAAGUUUGGAACGAAACAGGGUCCAGGCAUCUUCGAGUUCGAGAUGAGACGGAAUACUCCAGUCUGUUUGAGCAGCAGCUUCCUGAAGAGUGGGUUGAUUUGUACGCCAAUAAUUUCGACGAGGUCUACCAGAAUCGUUAAUUGAUGCACAACCGCUCCAGUGAAAGGAAAUUGUACAGUGAUCACUUCUCCCGAUUGGCAGCGAACAUUGCAAUUUGUCGAUGUCAGUUGGGGACGCUGUUAAAACAAGAUCCAGGAUGUUUGAGGUUUGACCAGGAAACAUACGGGUUGGAGACAUGACAUGCUGGGUCAAAUUGCAGUCGAGAAUUGUAUCAAGCA
Long non-coding RNA from Syngnathus typhle (broad-nosed pipefish), 2211 nucleotides. RefSeq lists it as uncharacterized. The transcript has 3 exons. The record is from RefSeq and is a predicted model, not a curated record. Lineage: Eukaryota; Metazoa; Chordata; Actinopteri; Syngnathiformes; Syngnathidae.